Molecule: long non-coding RNA, 663 nt
Organism: Rosa chinensis
Lineage: Eukaryota; Viridiplantae; Streptophyta; Magnoliopsida; Rosales; Rosaceae
Exons: 2
Source: RefSeq, a predicted model, not a curated record
UUAAAUCGGAGUUACAACGGAAAAGUACGAUCUAAAAACGGAAGUUUCUAUUCUUGACUUGGGUUUUAAAUAGCUUUCUAUUUUGGGAAAGAGGAGAGAGAAAGCAUUUGAGCAGCCAAAAUCGGGAAAACUCGAUCCUCUCUCUCUUUUCUUUUUUUUUUUGCCGCACACUGUUUUCCGGCAAUUUCACCGCGGUCAGUCCACCGCCGGGCGCACCACCGAUCAUUGAACGCUCCUCUCUUCCUCCUCUUCCAUCUUAGCUCAAUUUGGCAGGUGGAGGAGAAAUCGAGGGUGAACAGUAACGCACCCGGGUUUGCAGCUUUUGGGCCAAUUUCCGGUCAUUUGGUCGUGAAUUGAGUAUGUUUUGUGGCAGGUAUUAAAGUUGUUCUACAAAUUGUGGAGAUCGUUGUAGUGUAGGUGGGUUUGCCGGAUUUGGGAGUUGGUGAGGUGGAGCACGAAGCCACGCGCCGCCACUGGUGGUGGCGCCACCAAAAAAUGCUUAAUUUUAGUUUGUUAAUUAUAUCCUGUGUAUGGGAAUCGUUGACUACCUUAAUAUCAUGAAAUUCCGAUGAUUUGACGUUGUUCAAGAGUGUUAAGUUUGGAACUAUUGGAUAUGUAUGAUUGUUAUACAAGAAUAUUAAUAUCGAGAGUUGUUUAAAAUAA